Molecule: small nucleolar RNA, 72 nt
Organism: Peromyscus eremicus (cactus mouse)
Lineage: Eukaryota; Metazoa; Chordata; Mammalia; Rodentia; Cricetidae
Product: small nucleolar RNA SNORD113/SNORD114 family
Exons: 1
Source: RefSeq, a predicted model, not a curated record
UGCAUCAAUGAUGACCACUGAUGAUGUAUGAUCCAUGGAUCACGACUACAGGUGUGGGUGUCUGAGCUCCAU